GACGAACCGAGCGAGCGUUGUUCGGAAUCACUGGGCUUAAAGGGUGCGUAGGCGGGUGAACAAGUCAGGGGUGAAAUCAAUGGGCCUAACCGGAAAAGUGCCCCUGAAACUGAACAUCUUGAGGGAGGUAGGGGCGUGUGGAAAUUCCGGUGGAGCGGUGAAAUGCGUAGAUAUCGGAAGGAACGCCGGUGGCGAAAGCGACGCGCUGGACCUCUUCUGACGCUGAGGCGCGAAAGCCAGGGGAGCAAACGGG
RNAcentral lists this ribosomal RNA (253 nucleotides) under uncultured bacterium. RNAcentral describes it as "partial 16S ribosomal RNA". It matches the Rfam family "Bacterial small subunit ribosomal RNA", at positions 524 to 776 of the family's 1533-position model. The record is from RNAcentral.